GGCUACCAUUGUCUCUUAGGAACAAUAUACAGUUAGUUACUGUGCUGAUUCAAUGUUGGAUUAAGUGAACUUGUUCAGGCUUUUUCACACAUUCAGGUUUUCAUUUGAGGGUGAAGAACAUGAGCAUAUAUCCAAAACCGGCAAAACAACUGUACAAAUUUCAGGCCAUAGCCAAAUUUUAACAACUAGAUUAAUCUAUUUUUAUUUAUUUAUUUAUGAGUUGUUGUAGCUACCUGAUCCAAUGUCCAUAUUUCUCAAGGAACAACUACGUGUCUGGAGAGCAUUAAAUGGAGAUAUUUGCUUGACUAACCUUUUUUUUUUUUUAUCACUGUUGGUUUUCGGUGUACUGUCUUAAAAUUAUAUGGGUCCAUGAUAAUAACAUGUGCUGUAUUGGCUUUUACACUCAAGGGUUACUUUCU
Molecule: long non-coding RNA, 419 nt
Organism: Camellia sinensis
Lineage: Eukaryota; Viridiplantae; Streptophyta; Magnoliopsida; Ericales; Theaceae
Source: RefSeq, a predicted model, not a curated record